RNAcentral lists this transfer RNA (77 nucleotides) under uncultured euryarchaeote Alv-FOS5. Its description in RNAcentral is "tRNA-Ala". The record is from RNAcentral. Lineage: Archaea; Methanobacteriati; Methanobacteriota.
CCGGCCGAGACUUUCGACGUUUUCGAACUCGGGACCUCGCGCGUGCAAGGCGCGCGCUCUUCCAACUGAGCUACCGG